This is a long non-coding RNA of Fundulus heteroclitus (mummichog), 167 nucleotides long. RefSeq lists it as uncharacterized. The transcript is spliced from 3 exons. NCBI's taxonomy places the organism in Eukaryota, Metazoa, Chordata, Actinopteri, Cyprinodontiformes, Fundulidae. The record is from RefSeq and is a predicted model, not a curated record.
AACUGAAAUGAAUCUGUCCUACGCGUUUCGAGGUCCAUUCGUCGCCCCAACACUGAAAGUGCUCCUGGAAUUAAUCUGCAAACCUUCCUCAGAACAUCGUGAUGAGUUGCCACAACAUCACCCUAAAGUGUGUCGGACCAGGGACACAUUUAAAAGUUGCAAGACAC